GGAGCGUGUCGUCUAGUGGCCUAGGACGCCUCGGAAGACCAGCCUUUGGGCUGGAAUGGGGGUAAUCGAUGGUUCGACUCCAUCCACGCUCCACCA
Molecule: transfer RNA, 96 nt
Filed under: Chloroflexota bacterium
Lineage: Bacteria; Bacillati; Chloroflexota
Description: tRNA-OTHER
Rfam family: tRNA
About the family: Transfer RNA (tRNA) molecules are approximately 80 nucleotides in length. Their secondary structure includes four short double-helical elements and three loops (D, anti-codon, and T loops). Further hydrogen bonds mediate the characteristic L-shaped molecular structure. tRNAs have two regions of fundamental functional importance: the anti-codon, which is responsible for specific mRNA codon recognition, and the 3' end, to which the tRNAs corresponding amino acid is attached (by aminoacyl-tRNA synthetases). tRNAs cope with the degeneracy of the genetic code in two manners: having more than one tRNA (with a specific anti-codon) for a particular amino acid; and 'wobble' base-pairing, i.e. permitting non-standard base-pairing at the 3rd anti-codon position.
Source: RNAcentral